This 253-nucleotide ribosomal RNA is filed under the name uncultured Rikenellaceae bacterium. RNAcentral describes it as "partial 16S ribosomal RNA". It matches the Rfam family "Bacterial small subunit ribosomal RNA", at positions 524 to 776 of the family's 1533-position model. Lineage: Bacteria; Pseudomonadati; Bacteroidota; Bacteroidia; Bacteroidales; Rikenellaceae. The record is from RNAcentral.
UACGGAGGAUCCGAGCGUUAUCCGGAUUUAUUGGGUUUAAAGGGUGCGUAGGCGGUUUGAUAAGUUAGAGGUGAAAUGUCGGGGCUCAACCCCGAAACUGCCUCUAAUACUGUUGGACUAGAGAAUAGUUGCGGUAGGCGGAAUGUAUGGUGUAGCGGUGAAAUGCUUAGAUAUAACUUAGAACUCCGAUAGCGAAGGCAGCUUACCAGACUGCGACUGACGCUGAAGCACGAGAGCGUGGGUAGCGAACAGG